CCUACGGGUGGCAGCAGUGGGGAAUAUUGGAUAAUGGGCGAAAGCCUGAUCCAGCCAUGCCGCGUGUGUGAAGAAGGCCUUCGGGUUGUAAAGCACUUUCAGUGGGGAAGAAAGCCUUGGGGCUAAUACCCUCGAGGAAGGACAUCACCCACAGAAGAAGCACCGGCUAACUCCGUGCCAGCAGCCGCGGUAAUACGGAGGGUGCGAGCGUUAAUCGGAAUUACUGGGCGUAAAGCGCGCGUAGGCGGUCUGAUAAGCCGGUUGUGAAAGCCCCGGGCUCAACCUGGGAACGGCAUCCGGAACUGUCAGGCUAGAGUGCAGGAGAGGAAGGUAGAAUUCCCGGUGUAGCGGUGAAAUGCGUAGAGAUCGGGAGGAAUACCAGUGGCGAAGGCGGCCUUCUGGACUGACACUGACGCUGAGGUGCGAAAGCGUGGGUAGCAAACAGGAUUAGAUACCCUAGUAGUC
This 465-nucleotide ribosomal RNA is filed under the name Vreelandella stevensii. RNAcentral's name for it is "partial 16S ribosomal RNA". It matches the Rfam family "Bacterial small subunit ribosomal RNA", at positions 338 to 795 of the family's 1533-position model. The record is from RNAcentral. Lineage: Bacteria; Pseudomonadati; Pseudomonadota; Gammaproteobacteria; Oceanospirillales; Halomonadaceae.